Molecule: ribosomal RNA, 375 nt
Filed under: uncultured bacterium
Lineage: Bacteria
Description: partial 16S ribosomal RNA
Rfam family: Bacterial small subunit ribosomal RNA
Source: RNAcentral
UGGGGAAUAUUGGACAAUGGGCGCAAGCCUGAUCCAGCAAUGCCGCGUGAGUGAUGAAGGCCUUCGGGUUGUAAAGCUCUUUCGCACGCGACGAUGAUGACGGUAGCGUGAGAAGAAGCCCCGGCUAACUUCGUGCCAGCAGCCGCGGUAAUACGAAGGGGGCUAGCGUUGUUCGGAAUUACUGGGCGUAAAGGGCGCGUAGGCGGCCUGUUUAGUCAGGAGUGAAAUCCCCGGGCUCAACCUGGGAAUUGCUUUUGAUACUGGCAGGCUUGAGUUCCGGAGAGGAUGGUGGAAUUCCCAGUGUAGAGGUGAAAUUCGUAGAUAUUGGGAAGAACACCGGUGGCGAAGGCGGCCAUCUGGACGGACACUGACGCU